Molecule: ribosomal RNA, 2881 nt
Filed under: Burkholderia multivorans
Lineage: Bacteria; Pseudomonadati; Pseudomonadota; Betaproteobacteria; Burkholderiales; Burkholderiaceae
Description: 23S ribosomal RNA
Rfam family: Bacterial large subunit ribosomal RNA
Source: RNAcentral
GGUCAAGCGAACAAGUGCAUGUGGUGGAUGCCUUGGCGAUCACAGGCGAUGAAGGACGCGGUAGCCUGCGAAAAGCCCCGGGGAGCUGGCAAACAAGCUUUGAUCCGGGGAUGUCCGAAUGGGGAAACCCACUCCUUUUGGAGUAUCCAUAGCUGAAUACAUAGGCUAUGUGAAGCGAACGCGGUGAACUGAAACAUCUAAGUAACUGCAGGAAAAGAAAUCAACCGAGAUUCCCAAAGUAGUGGCGAGCGAAAUGGGAUGAGCCUUGUACUCUUUAUUUGUAUUGUUAGCCGAACGCUCUGGAAAGUGCGGCCAUAGCAGGUGAUAGCCCUGUAGGCGAAAACAGUAUGAAAGAACUAGGUGUACGACAAGUAGGGCGGGACACGUGAAAUCCUGUCUGAAGAUGGGGGGACCAUCCUCCAAGGCUAAAUACUCGUGAUCGACCGAUAGUGAACCAGUACCGUGAGGGAAAGGCGAAAAGAACCCCGGGAGGGGAGUGAAAUAGAUCCUGAAACCGCAUGCAUACAAACAGUCGGAGCCUCGUAAGGGGUGACGGCGUACCUUUUGUAUAAUGGGUCAGCGACUUACGUUCAGUAGCAAGCUUAACCGUAUAGGGCAGGCGUAGCGAAAGCGAGUCCGAAUAGGGCGUUCAGUUGCUGGGCGUAGACCCGAAACCAGGUGAUCUAUCCAUGGCCAGGAUGAAGGUGCGGUAACACGUACUGGAGGUCCGAACCCACUAACGUUGAAAAGUUAGGGGAUGAGCUGUGGAUAGGGGUGAAAGGCUAAACAAACCUGGAAAUAGCUGGUUCUCUCCGAAAACUAUUUAGGUAGUGCCUCGUGUCUCACCUUCGGGGGUAGAGCACUGUCAUGGUUGGGGGGUCUAUUGCAGAUUACCCCGCCAUAGCAAACUCCGAAUACCGAAGAGUGCAAUCACGGGAGACAGACAUCGGGUGCUAACGUCCGGUGUCAAGAGGGAAACAACCCAGACCGCCAGCUAAGGUCCCCAAAUAUGGCUAAGUGGGAAACGAAGUGGGAAGGCUAAAACAGUCAGGAGGUUGGCUUAGAAGCAGCCACCCUUUAAAGAAAGCGUAAUAGCUCACUGAUCGAGUCGUCCUGCGCGGAAGAUGUAACGGGGCUAAGCCAUAUACCGAAGCUGCGGAUGCGUGCUUGCACGCAUGGUAGGAGAGCGUUCCGUAAGCCUGCGAAGGUGCCUUGUAAAGGGUGCUGGAGGUAUCGGAAGUGCGAAUGCUGACAUGAGUAGCGAUAAAGGGGGUGAAAGGCCCCCUCGCCGUAAGCCCAAGGUUUCCUACGCAACGUUCAUCGGCGUAGGGUGAGUCGGCCCCUAAGGCGAGGCAGAAAUGCGUAGCUGAUGGGAAGCAGGUCAAUAUUCCUGCACCAUUGUUAGAUGCGAUGGGGGGACGGAUCGCGGAAGGUUGUCCGGGUGUUGGACGUCCCGGUCGCUGCAUUGGAGAAGGCGCUUAGGCAAAUCCGGGCGCAGGAUUCAAGGGUGUGGCGCGAGCGACUUCGGUCGCGAAGCAAUUGGAAGUGGUUCCAAGAAAAGCCUCUAAGCUUCAGUCUAACGAUGACCGUACCGCAAACCGACACAGGUGGGCGAGAUGAGUAUUCUAAGGCGCUUGAGAGAACUCGGGAGAAGGAACUCGGCAAAUUGGUACCGUAACUUCGGGAUAAGGUACGCCCUUGUAGCUUGACUGGCCUGCGCCAGAAGGGUGAAGGGGUUGCAAUAAACUGGUGGCUGCGACUGUUUAAUAAAAACACAGCACUCUGCAAACACGAAAGUGGACGUAUAGGGUGUGACGCCUGCCCGGUGCCGGAAGAUUAAAUGAUGGGGUGCAAGCUCUUGAUUGAAGUCCCGGUAAACGGCGGCCGUAACUAUAACGGUCCUAAGGUAGCGAAAUUCCUUGUCGGGUAAGUUCCGACCUGCACGAAUGGCGUAACGAUGGCCACACUGUCUCCUCCCGAGACUCAGCGAAGUUGAAGUGUUUGUGAUGAUGCAAUCUACCCGCGGCUAGACGGAAAGACCCCAUGAACCUUUACUGUAGCUUUGCAUUGGACUUUGAACCGAUCUGUGUAGGAUAGGUGGGAGGCUAUGAAACCGGAACGCUAGUUUCGGUGGAGCCGUCCUUGAAAUACCACCCUGGUUUGUUUGAGGUUCUAACCUUGGUCCGUGAUCCGGAUCGGGGACAGUGCAUGGUAGGCAGUUUGACUGGGGCGGUCUCCUCCCAAAGGGUAACGGAGGAGUACGAAGGUACGCUAGGUACGGUCGGAAAUCGUGCUGAUAGUGCAAUGGCAUAAGCGUGCUUAACUGCGAGACCGACAAGUCGAGCAGGUGCGAAAGCAGGUCAUAGUGAUCCGGUGGUUCUGUAUGGAAGGGCCAUCGCUCAACGGAUAAAAGGUACUCUGGGGAUAACAGGCUGAUACCGCCCAAGAGUUCAUAUCGACGGCGGUGUUUGGCACCUCGAUGUCGGCUCAUCUCAUCCUGGGGCUGUAGCCGGUCCCAAGGGUAUGGCUGUUCGCCAUUUAAAGAGGUACGUGAGCUGGGUUUAAAACGUCGUGAGACAGUUUGGUCCCUAUCUGCCGUGGGCGUUGGAUAUUUGAAGGGGGCUGCUCCUAGUACGAGAGGACCGGAGUGGACGAACCUCUGGUGUACCGGUUGUGACGCCAGUCGCAUCGCCGGGUAGCUAUGUUCGGAAGAGAUAACCGCUGAAAGCAUCUAAGCGGGAAACUCGCCUUAAGAUGAGAUAUCCCUGGAGGCUUGACCUCCUUGAAGGGUCGUUCGAGACCAGGACGUUGAUAGGUCGGGUGUGUAAGCGCAGUAAUGCGUUCAGCUAACCGAUACUAAUUGCCCGUAAGGCUUGAUCCU